CCCCUCGAACAGGAGAAUCAUUUCUAUAGUAUUCGACCUUCUCUAGGUUCCCUAAAGGAGCCACAGAUCCCACCCUGGUUGAUGAGGUAUAUCCUCGACACCCUAGAGUGAAGAACUCUUGGUUGCUCUCGACCUCUCCGCAAGGAGGGCGGUACUCAGUCUAUCCGAGUGCUGUAUAGAGGGCGGUGAUGAUCUCGUCCCCGGCUGCGGUCUUGCCCUUGGGCGCGUGGUCGGGGUGGGUGUCGAUGGACGUCUGACAGGC
This 262-nucleotide small nucleolar RNA is filed under the name Colletotrichum chlorophyti. RNAcentral describes it as "Fungal small nucleolar RNA U3". It matches the Rfam family "Fungal small nucleolar RNA U3". From Rfam's summary of the family: Small nucleolar RNAs (snoRNAs) are involved in the processing and modification of rRNA in the nucleolus. There are two main classes of snoRNAs: the box C/D class, and the box H/ACA class. The record is from Rfam by way of RNAcentral. Lineage: Eukaryota; Fungi; Ascomycota; Sordariomycetes; Glomerellales; Glomerellaceae.